Halobacillus mangrovi is the source of this 125-nucleotide non-coding RNA. Lineage: Bacteria; Bacillati; Bacillota; Bacilli; Caryophanales; Bacillaceae. The record is from Rfam.
AGAGACAAGUAGAAGCACCCGCUUCUCACCUGAUCGACGCACAAAGCAGUUGGCAGGUCACAAAUCCUUUUUAAACGAUGGGAUACGUGUGGGUGCAGUAUGUGUACCGACACUUUUUUAAUGUU